Ixodes scapularis (black-legged tick) is the source of this 310-nucleotide long non-coding RNA. RefSeq lists it as uncharacterized. The transcript has 4 exons. The record is from RefSeq and is a predicted model, not a curated record. Lineage: Eukaryota; Metazoa; Arthropoda; Arachnida; Ixodida; Ixodidae.
CGUCGGAAGCGGCAGAUGACUCGGAACGUGGGCGCAGGUGGUGGUGUGCGGGGCUGAACAGAUAGCGAGAACGUUGCUCGAGACGCCUAGAAAGGCCUUGGGAACUCCAGCAAAACGGACGCCACCAAACGGGAACCAGCCGGAACCAGCCGGAACAGAUCAAACUCUGCAGGAAUUUGGACGCAGAUGUGAACGACACUUCACAGCUUUGGAAAGGUGGCCUGUCACCAGCCAAGUCCCCCUUCGGUGGUGCAACGCCUUUGUGCUACAUUUUGUCUUUACACGAAUUCGACACAGUCAGAUCAAAUGA